Lentinula edodes (shiitake mushroom) is the source of this 88-nucleotide non-coding RNA. The record is from Rfam. Lineage: Eukaryota; Fungi; Basidiomycota; Agaricomycetes; Agaricales; Omphalotaceae.
GCCCGCCUAGCUCAAUCGGAUAGAGCGUCAGACUCUUAUGAAGAGCAAGGGCAUCUGAAGGCUGCGAGUUCGACCCUCGCGGUGGGCU